Molecule: ribosomal RNA, 468 nt
Filed under: uncultured bacterium
Lineage: Bacteria
Description: partial 16S ribosomal RNA
Rfam family: Bacterial small subunit ribosomal RNA
Source: RNAcentral
GACGAACGCUGGCGGCGUGCUUAACACAUGCAAGUCGAACGGAAAGGCCCUGCUUUUGUGGGGUGCUCGAGUGGCGAACGGGUGAGUAACACGUGAGUAACCUGCCCUUGACUUUGGGAUAACUUCAGGAAACUGGGGCUAAUACCGGAUAGGAGCUCCUGCUGCAUGGUGGGGUUUGGAAAGUUUCGGCGGUUGGGGAUGGACUCGCGGCUUAUCAGCUUGUUGGUGGGGUAGUGGCUUACCAAGGCUUUGACGGGUAGCCGGCCUGAGAGGGUGACCGGCCACAUUGGGACUGAGGUACGGCCCAGACUCCUACGGGAGGCAGCAGUGGGGAAUAUUGCACAAUGGGCGGAAGCCUGUUGCAGCAACGCCGCGUGCGGGAUGACGGCCUUCGGGGUGUAAACCGCUUUCGCCUGUGACGAAGCGUGAGUGACGGUAAUGGGUAAAGAAGCACCGGCUAACUACGUG